This 497-nucleotide ribosomal RNA is filed under the name uncultured bacterium. RNAcentral describes it as "partial 16S ribosomal RNA". It matches the Rfam family "Bacterial small subunit ribosomal RNA", at positions 28 to 507 of the family's 1533-position model. The record is from RNAcentral.
GAUGAACGCUGGCGGCGUGCCUAAUACAUGCAAGUCGAGCGAACGGACGAGAAGCUUGCUUCUCUGAUGUUAGCGGCGGACGGGUGAGUAACACGUGGAUAACCUACCUAUAAGACUGGGAUAACUUCGGGAAACCGGAGCCAAUACCGGAUAAUAUUUUGAACCGCAUGGUUCAAAAGUGAAAGACGGUCUUGCUGUCACUUAUAGAUGGAUCCGCGCUGCAUUAGCUAGUUGGUAAGGUAACGGCUUACCAAGGCAACGAUGCAUAGCCGACCUGAGAGGGUGAUCGGCCACACUGGAACUGAGACACGGUCCAGACUCCUACGGGAGGCAGCAGUAGGGAAUCUUCCGCAAUGGGCGAAAGCCUGACGGAGCAACGCCGCGUGAGUGAUGAAGGUCUUCGGAUCGUAAAACUCUGUUAUUAGGGAAGAACAUAUGUGUAAGUAACUGUGCACAUCUUGACGGUACCUAAUCAGAAAGCAACGGCUAACUACGUG